CCUACGUGCGGCAGCAGUGAGGAAUAUUGGUCAAUGGUCGAGAGCCUGAACCAGCCAAGUAGCGUGAAGGAUGACUGCCCUAUGGGUUGUAAACUUCUUUUAUAUGGGAAUAAAAUGUGCCACGUGUGGCCUUUUGUAUGUACCUUAUGAAUAAGGAUCGGCUAACUCCGUGCCAGCAGCCGCGGUAAUACGGAGGAUCCGAGCGUUAUCCGGAUUUAUUGGGUUUAAAGGGAGCGUAGGUGGGUUGUUAAGUCAGUUGUGAAAGUUUGGGGCUCAACCGUAAAAUUGCAGUUGAAACUGGCAGUCUUGAGUGCAGGAGAGGUAGGCGGAAUUCGUGGUGUAGCGGUGAAAUGCUUAGAUAUCACGAAGAACUCCGAUUGCGAAGGCAGCUUACUGGACUGCAACUGACACUGAGGCUCGAAAGUGUGGGUAUCAAACAGGAUUAGAUACCCGGGUAGUC
This 460-nucleotide ribosomal RNA is filed under the name uncultured bacterium. RNAcentral's name for it is "partial 16S ribosomal RNA". It matches the Rfam family "Bacterial small subunit ribosomal RNA", at positions 338 to 795 of the family's 1533-position model. The record is from RNAcentral.